Molecule: ribosomal RNA, 267 nt
Filed under: uncultured archaeon
Lineage: Archaea
Description: partial 16S ribosomal RNA
Rfam family: Archaeal small subunit ribosomal RNA
Source: RNAcentral
AGACGUCUACAUUAGAUACCCGCGUAGUCCCAGCCGUAAACUAUGCGCGUUAGGUGUAUCGGUGACCACGAGUUACCGAGGUGCCGAAAGGGAAACCGUAGAAACGUGCCGCCUGGGAAGUACGGUCGCAAGGCUAGAAACUUAAAGGAAUUGGCGGGGAGCACCACAACAGGUGGAGCCUGCGGUUUAAUUGGACUCAACGCCGGGAAGCUCACCGGAUAGGACAGCAGAAUGAUUGCCGGGCUGAAGACCCUGCAUGACUAGCUG